Molecule: ribosomal RNA, 1372 nt
Filed under: uncultured bacterium
Lineage: Bacteria
Description: bacterial SSU rRNA
Rfam family: Bacterial small subunit ribosomal RNA
Source: RNAcentral
GAUGAACGCUGGCGGCGUGCCUAAUACAUGCAAGUCGAGCGAACGGACGAGAAGCUUGCUUCUCUGAUGUUAGCGGCGGACGGGUGAGUAACACGCGGAUAACCUACCUAUAAGACUGGGAUAACUUCGGGAAACCGUAGCUAAUACCGGAUAAUAUUUUGAACCGCAUGGUUCAAAAGUGAAAGACGGUCUUGCUGUCACUUAUAGAUGGAUCCGCGCUGCAUUAGCUAGUUGGUAAGGUAACGGCUUACCAAGGCAACGAUGCAUAGCCGACCUGAGAGGGUGAUCGGCCACACUGGAACUGAGACACGGUCCAGACUCCUACGGGAGGCAGCAGUAGGGAAUCUUCCGCAAUGGGCGAAAGCCUGACGGAGCAACGCCGCGUGAGUGAUGAAGGUCUUCGGAUCGUAAAACUCUGUUAUUAGGGAAGAACAUAUGUGUAAGUAACUGUGCACAUCUUGACGGUACCUAAUCAGAAAGCCACGGCUAACUACGUGCCAGCAGCCGCGGUAAUACGUAGGUGGCAAGCGUUAUCCGGAAUUAUUGGGCGUAAAGCGCGCGUAGGCGGUUUUUUAAGUCUGAUGUGAAAGCCCACGGCUCAACCGUGGAGGGUCAUUGGAAACUGGAAAACUUGAGUGCAGAAGAGGAAAGUGGAAUUCCAUGUGUAGCGGUGAAAUGCGCAGAGAUAUGGAGGAACACCAGUGGCGAAGGCGACUUUCUGGUCUGUAACUGACGCUGAUGUGCGAAAGCGUGGGGAUCAAACAGGAUUAGAUACCCUGGUAGUCCACGCCGUAAACGAUGAGUGCUAAGUGUUAGGGGGUUUCCGCCCCUUAGUGCUGCAGCUAACGCAUUAAGCACUCCGCCUGGGGAGUACGACCGCAAGGUUGAAACUCAAAGGAAUUGACGGGGACCCGCACAAGCGGUGGAGCAUGUGGUUUAAUUCGAAGCAACGCGAAGAACCUUACCAAAUCUUGACAUCCUUUGACAACUCUAGAGAUAGAGCCUUCCCCUUCGGGGGACAAAGUGACAGGUGGUGCAUGGUUGUCGUCAGCUCGUGUCGUGAGAUGUUGGGUUAAGUCCCGCAACGAGCGCAACCCUUAAGCUUAGUUGCCAUCAUUAAGUUGGGCACUCUAAGUUGACUGCCGGUGACAAACCGGAGGAAGGUGGGGAUGACGUCAAAUCAUCAUGCCCCUUAUGAUUUGGGCUACACACGUGCUACAAUGGACAAUACAAAGGGCAGCGAAACCGCGAGGUCAAGCAAAUCCCAUAAAGUUGUUCUCAGUUCGGAUUGUAGUCUGCAACUCGACUACAUGAAGCUGGAAUCGCUAGUAAUCGUAGAUCAGCAUGCUACGGUGAAUACGUUCCCGGGUCU